GAUGUUCACCGCUGCUGGUUCUGUACUUUCUGGGAAAUAUAUUGUUGUCGGAGCGAGUCUCUCGGGAACAUAUAUUUCUUCAGGAGUGAAAUAAAACGUCACCGUCGAUACAUCAUUCUUCACUGGAUGGGCCUGAUCGAACUGAAGACAACCUUCAUCUAUCAGUUGCUGAAUACCCCUUCUCAAACUGUCACAUCCGUUUUCGGCAGCUUGACAAUUU
Molecule: long non-coding RNA, 220 nt
Filed under: Lathyrus oleraceus (garden pea)
Lineage: Eukaryota; Viridiplantae; Streptophyta; Magnoliopsida; Fabales; Fabaceae
Description: Pisum sativum (pea) long non-coding RNA (PSAT_LNC027263)
Source: RNAcentral